GAUGAACGCUGGCGGCGUGCCUAAUACAUGCAAGUCGAGCGAACGGACGAGAAGCUUGCUUCUCUGAUGUUAGCGGCGGACGGGUAAGUAACACGUGGAUAACCUACCUAUAAGACUGGGAUAACUUCGGGAAACCGGAGCUAAUACCGGAUAAUAUUUUGAACCGCAUGGUUCAAAAGUGAAAGACGGUCUUGCUGUCACUUAUAGAUGGAUCCGCGCUGCAUUAGCUAGUUGGUAAGGUAACGGCUUACCAAGGCGACGAUGCAUAGCCGACCUGAGAGGGUGAUCGGCCACACUGGAACUGAGACACGGUCCAGACUCCUACGGGAGGCAGCAGUAGGGAAUCUUCCGCAAUGGGCGAAAGCCUGACGGAGCAACGCCGCGUGAGUGAUGAAGGUCUUCGGAUCGUAAAACUCUGUUAUUAGGGAAGAACAUAUGUGUAAGUAACUGUGCACAUCUUGACGGUACCUAAUCAGAAAGCCACGGCUAACUACGUG
RNAcentral lists this ribosomal RNA (497 nucleotides) under uncultured bacterium. Its description in RNAcentral is "partial 16S ribosomal RNA". It matches the Rfam family "Bacterial small subunit ribosomal RNA", at positions 28 to 507 of the family's 1533-position model. The record is from RNAcentral.